Molecule: ribosomal RNA, 367 nt
Filed under: uncultured Glomeraceae
Lineage: Eukaryota; Fungi; Glomeromycota; Glomeromycetes; Glomerales; Glomeraceae
Description: partial large subunit ribosomal RNA
Source: RNAcentral
CAGUCAUACCAACGGGAAAUCAACCUUUUGAGCUCGGUCUCGUGGGUUUUGAAGAGUUUCAAAGCCUUCGGAUUCGCGGGAUUGGGAUCUCUCGGUGUACUUUCUCGUACGGUUAGUCAACAUCGGUUUUGAAUGACAUAAAAUGACUGGAGGAAUGUAGCUUCGAUCUCGUAUUGAAGUGUUAUAGCCUUUGGUAGAUGUGAUGUUUGAGACCGAGGAUUGCAACGGAUACCCUUCAGGGCUAUUCGUCUGAUCUCUGAUACGUUGCCCUGAUGUUGAAAGCUUGCUUAUGAUGUUAGGGUAUUACGGUCAAAAGGUUAGAACGAAUUACAUUCGUUAAGGAUGUUGACGUAAUGACUUUAAACGA